RNAcentral lists this ribosomal RNA (253 nucleotides) under uncultured bacterium. RNAcentral's name for it is "partial 16S ribosomal RNA". It matches the Rfam family "Bacterial small subunit ribosomal RNA", at positions 524 to 776 of the family's 1533-position model. The record is from RNAcentral.
UACGGAGGGGGCUAGCGUUGUUCGGGAUUACUGGGCGUAAAGCGCGCGCAGGCGGCUAUCCAAGUCAGUGGUGAAAGCCCGGAGCUCAACUUCGGAACUGCCAUUGAAACUGUUUAGCUUGAGGACGAGAGAGGUGAGUGGAAUUCCCAGUGUAGAGGUGAAAUUCGUAGAUAUUGGGAAGAACACCGGUGGCGAAGGCGGCUCACUGGCUCGUAUCUGACGCUCAGGCGCGAUAGCGUGGGGAUCAAACAGG